UCGAACCUGACAAAUACUGUGGUUGAAAUUAUACAACAUUUGAUGUAAAAAUCAGUCAUCAAUUUAUUUUUGAACUGAACUGAAGAUCGAUAGGUAUGCUAAAAUGGUAAGUACAAUUGUACUAUAUAUUUCAGAUCAAAAUUAUUUAGCAAACGUCUUACACUAGCUAGGAGUCUUGCAGUUAGUAUUCAUUUGUUUGAUGUGUUUGAGUUUUUGAUUUUACCAUUUGAUUAGGGACUUUCCGUUUUGAAUUGUUCUUGGAGUCUGUAUUUUUGAGACAUAACUUCUUAUAGAUUAACUUUUUUAUAUGCACAGACAGUUUUGCGGCAAAUUUUUAUCCAGAAAAAAAAAAACAAGCAUUCGUUGUUUAAUGGUCCGUUUUAAAAAUGCUUUAAUUAUUCCUAAAUUUAGUAAUAAUCAAAACAAAAACAAUACUUCUACUAACAAUAAUAAAUAUUUGAGUAUAUGCUUAUGUAAUCCUUAAUUGAUUUUUCUUAUUCAAUCUUAAAGGAGGUUUGCAGUUCAAGUGCAUUUGUUUUUCAGUUUUUUUUUUUAGUUGCCGUUGGGGGGAUUGAUAUGUUUAAACAACAUCUGUUUUUGGAAAGAUUGGAACUUGUUCUAAAUCUUUCCUUGGGCACCGGCAACGUGACAGGUUAGCUACUAAAUUUAUGUGUUCACACUGAAAUAUAGUUCCUUUUAGUUCUCGUGUAUGUGCACAUAAUACACAUAUAAACUGCAAACAAAAUGAGUAUAUUUUUGGAGCAGUUCAUUCCAAGUCAGGAAUAUGACAGUUCUUGUCCAUUCGUUUUUGAUGCGUUUUGUUAUUUGAUUUUGCCAUGUGAUUAUGACUUUCGAAUUGUUUCCUCUGAGUUCAGUAUUUUUGUGAUUUUACUUUUUUCAAGAAUGUAUCUCAUUAAGAUAUGUUGAUGACCAGGCUAUUUUGAUUAUACAAAUUGAAUACUAGUAUGAUUGACAACUGUCAUAAUCACAGAACAAUCAGAUACCAGGUGGACCUUUAAAUACAAUGCCUCACCUCCUAAACUGCCAAUCAAAUUGACCACAUUACCUAUCAACCUCAGUCUAACAUAAUUAUACAAGACCAUUCAAUAUACAUCUAAUUCUUAAUACACAAGUAUUUGACCUCAUAAUUGAAUACACAAAUGUGUAUAUUAAAUGUUUGAUAUGUAAGGAGGAUUUAUCCAUUGCCAAUUACUUUUGAUCUAUACUACAUAAAGUGAUUCUAUAAAUUAUGUUUGAAAGAUAAAUGAUUAAUUAAGGAAUAACAAGAUCUUUAAAAAAAAUAUAAGAAUAAAUAUGAAUAUUUAAAAGGUCUUCAGGUAAGGCCUAUAAUUUACAUGAUAAAUUUCCGAUAAUCUCUGUAAUUAAUAAAAAAUUUAGGUUAGUUCACUUAUUUUUUUUUAUAAGUAAUUGGCUUGAAACAGAUAGUAAAAUUUUAAAACUUUUAAAUAUAACAAACCUUUUUUUUAGUUUAUUCCCCAUUAAACAUUUUUUUUUGUCAAAUAUCUAUUCACAAUUUUAGGCAUUUGAGUAUUUUUAAGAAGUGAAUAUAUAUUUUUGCCAUCAAGAAAGAAUCCACAUUUCAAAAAAAGAAGUACAUUUCCAAUGCCCUGUGAUAAAAAAUACUUUAUAAAUAGAUCAAAAGGCUCUCUACAACUUUUAGUCUUCAAUGUCAUAUAACCUUUGUUUCAACUUAGAAAAUGCCCCAAACAACUUAUUUAAAUUAUUUUUGUUCACAAUUUAAAGUUCUUAGCUUCAAGUUUAUCUGUUGGUCUUUAAUAUGCCCUAAAAAGUUAUAGUUGGUAAAAUUUACUAGUUGAAUUUUUUGUUUGCAUUUUUUUUAAACAUGUUCGAAACAGGGAACAUGUUUGCUUAAGAUAUAAACUGCAGUUUAAAAAAAAUAUGCAAAUUAAGAGUUAAAUUGUGCUCAUUUUAUCUUCAUACUGGAAAAGCACUUUUACUUAUAAAGGCCUACAGUUAAGGCAAUUGUCAGAAAUAGUGCUUUAUUAAUGUUCUUGUUUGUCCACGCCAUACCGAUAUGAAAUUAUUUAAACUACUCUUCCAAUCUUUCCAUGAGUGACUUCCAUCAGUUUGAUUUUUUUUUUAGAAAUAAGAGAUGUUAAGCGAUUUAAUUUUAUGCGAAUGAAAUGCAAGAGAGGUUUAGCUAGCUGAAACAGGUUUAAUCAACAAAUCAUGCUUUAUACAUACAAAAAUGUCUGUACCAAGACAGGAAUAUGACAGUUGUUAUCCAUUCGUUUAAUGUGUUUUAGUUUUUAAUUUUGCCAUUUCAUUUUAACUUUCCUUUUUGUAUUUUUCUCGGAGUUCGGUAUUUUUGUUAUAUAACUUUUUAUAGAUUAACUUUUUUUUAAAUUCAUGUUUUUAAAGUAGCAUUUUUUUAAUAAUACUUUAAUUUAAAAUUUUCCUAAAUUUAGUAAAAAUCAAAACAAAAACAACUAUACGUCUUCUGAUACGUCUACUAUAUAUUAGUUAUAAUUAUUUGAGUAUAACCUUAUGUACUCCUCAAUUGUUUUUAGUUAAUCUUAAAGGAAGUUUGCAAUGAAAGUGCAUUUUAUCUUCAGUUUGGAUUUGAUGCUUUUUGGGGAAGAAUUUAUCAUAUAAAAAAGUUAAUCUAUAAGAAGUUAAAUAACAAGAAUUGCAUAACGUGUUUUUUUCAAUAAACAAUUGACAUUGUCAUCGGAACUUGAGUGCUCCUCUGCUUGUCAACUUGUUCCUUUAUUCAUAUGGGGCUUACUUCAUGCAGCAGAAGUAGGAAUGAAAAGAGGCUUUCAUUUUUCUUUAUUUUAACUUCUUGCUGUAUAGAAGAUGUCCUUUCACUAAAUAAUUCAAUCUAAUGUGAUUUUGUUGUACACAUCUAUCCAAUGAAAUGUAUACAUAUUAAAAGGAUACAUUAAAUACAAAUUAAACGGCCUCAUGUCUUAACUUUCAUCCAGAAAUUGACAAUGUGGGUCGUAUAAGAACCAAACUUUGCGACACGACAUGAUUUCUGUUUCAAAAUACGUUGACCGAUUCCUUUCACGGAUUUGGCUAUACUUUUUGGACCUUUUGGAUUAUAGCUCUUCAUCUUUUAUAUAAGCUUUGGAUUUAAAAUAUUUUGGCCACGAGCAUCACUGAAGAGACAUGUAUUGUCGAAAUGCGCAUCUGGUGCAAGAAAAUUGGUACCGUUUAUUUUAUUACUACCACUGGGUCGAUGCCUCUGCUGGUGGACUAUUAGUCCCCGAGGGUAUCACCAGCCCAGUAGCCAGUACUUCGGUAUACUGGCAUGAAAAUACGGAUGUUUUGUGUUAUUAAAAUUUGCUGUCACAAAAUGAUAGAAAUUAUUAUAAAUUAAGGAAUGUAUCUCCCUCAUGCAAAGCUCUGAUUCCUUUCACGGAUUUGGCUAUACUUUUUGGACCUUUGGAUUAUAGCUCUUCAUCUUUUAUAUAAGCUUGGAUUUCAAAUAUUUUGGCCACGAGCAUCACUGAAGAGACAUGUAUUGUCGAAAUGCGCAUCUGGUGCAAGAAAAUUGGUACCGUUUAUUUUAUUAUGGAAUAUCUACUUCACAGAUGAAUAUAUUCCAAUCGUUGUAACCACAAUCUUGCAUUUCGGUGGGGGUCGUAUUGAACCGUUUGUAGUUUUCUACGUUGUUUUUUGUAUACUGUUGGUUGUCAUUUCGUAUUUUCCUUCAAUUCCCGUAGCGUUCUAUGCUUUUUAAAAUUUUAAGUUUGAAUGUCCGUUUUGAGUCUCUGACAGACUUGGGGUCAAUUACAUUGGAAUGUAAUUAAUUAAAUUACACAUUACAUUGCAAAAAUGAUCAAUUACAUCAAUUACAAAUUACACUGUUUUUGAAAUGUAAUUAAUUAAAUUACAAUUACAUACUAAAGUAAUUAUUUAAAUUACACAUUACAUUUCGUCAUAGUAUUUUUUAAUAAUAUUAUACAUGUAGAAAUAAUGCAAGUGUAAAAUAUUCAUGUAAGCAUAGUUUAAGCUUUGCAUUUGAUAAUCAUUAGCUAUUUUAAUGUUUUGUCAUUUAGUAUGAAUAUCUCUGGUCUGAACACUUUGACAUCAGUUCUAAAUAGCUUUUUGACAGGAGCUAAUGUGGCAGAUAUUUGGGGAAUUGGUUCCUAUUAACUUGUCAAUAUUUCAAGGGGUAUUUUGACAUCCCAGAAAUGAAGUCAUUUAAAUUAAACAUAAUAUAAAUAAAUAUAUUAUACAUAAAUCAUAAAUAUUUGUUUUUACAUUAAAAAUAUCAAAAAGUGUGCUUGUCACAAUAUUGAAAAUAAUUUUUAGUACAAAUAAUGUAUGUAUAAUGUCUAAAUAUUAGCAAUAUUUUGCUAAUUGGAUAAUAAUACAUGUAACAGUGGCAUUGCCCCUGGACAUUUUAAUUUGAUUAAUUGCUGUUUGUUUUUACAGCUGUUAGUUUUUAUUUCUAUACUCCUUUUGUGUAUACUAAUUUGACAAAAUGAUUGUGUGCAGUGAUUUUAAAUUCUAAAUGAACUGUCUAAGAAAGAUUUUUCACAGUGACACUUUUUAUUUUGUUUUUGUUAAACAAGGUGAUUAAUUACUUAUCAAUCUAUUUAGUUAAAAGAUCUUUCUUAAAAACUGAACACUAAUAUAUGAUUCUCACAUUUUUAAAAUUUAUAAUUAAAUAAUAAUUAUUAAAAAAAAAAUCUGUAGGUCAAAUAAAUAUUAAUAUGCAUUGUAACUUCAGUAUAAAUUAUAGACUUCAUAUAUUAAAAAAAGUAUGUAAUGUCAAUAUUUGAAAAACAAGUAUUAUUUUACAAUUUAUAUUAUUAAACACAAAUCCUUAUCUUUAACACAAUAAAAGUAUAUGUAAUUGAAAUGUAAUUCAAAAGUAAUUGAGCAUUACAUGCUUUUUUCAAUGUAAUUAAUUAAAUUACCAUUACAUGUAAUUAAAAAAAUGCUCAAUUACACAUUAUAUUCAAUUACAUGGAAAACUGUAAUGCAUUACACUUAAUUAUCAUUACAUUUUCAAUUACCCCAUCCCUGGUCUCUGAGAUAGCUUUUACUUUUCUUCAUUGGUAUAGGGGGAGGGUUGAGAUCCGAGUCACAAACAUGUUUAACCCCGCCGCAUUUUUGCGCCUGUCCCAUGUCAGGAGCCUCUAGCCUUUGUUAGUCAUGUAUUAUUUUAACUUUUUGUUUCUUGUGUAUAAUUUGGAGUUUAGCAUGGUGUUCAUUAUCACUGAACCAGUAUAUAUUUGUUUAGGGGCCAGCUGAAGGACGCCUCCGGGUGCGAGAAUUUCUCGUUGUAUUGAAGACCUGUUUGUGAACUUCUGCUGUUGUCUGCUCUAUGGUCGGGUUGUUGUCUCUUUGACACAUUCCCCGUUUCCAUUCUCAAUUUUAUUUGUAUUUUUUUUGGUCCCAUGACAGCUAAUCGAUCUAAUAAUCUAUUUUUAUUUAAUUUUAGAAGACUAUUACCAUAAUGUUUGUAGCUGUUAUUAGCCUCUCUAUGAUGGUAUCAGGAAGAACGAUCUCAAUUCGACACCGUAGGGAAUGUGACUCGUGCAAUAUGCGCUUUAAUCGAAACUGUAUCAACCGACCAUGUCCAUACGCAUCUUUCAUUGACCGAUCUUCCAUCUUCAGAUCGAUCUGUGUCACAGAUUGCGCCAGUCGAUGGAGCCAGUGUGAUGUACAUUGUAAACGUUGGACAAAAUAAUAUCUUGUUUUCUAAUUAUUGUGGGCAUCACUGAAUGCACUACACUUUUCAGACUACUGUAAUGUGCAUUAUAAAAGGCGAAAAAAAAAUUGCAUUUUAUCUCCGAAUUUUUGUGUGGAACCAUUGAUCACCAGAAUUAUCAAACACUGUGAUGUGCAUGGUUAAUAUUUGACAACACAUUUAAGGUUCAUAUUGUUUCGUUAUAUGUGUUAUUACUGCAUGUGUAAACCCGCAUAUGAUUACAAAUUCAGAGGUUUGAGGAGAUGUGUGAAAUCAUUCAGUUUGCAUUCAAUUCAACUAUUAAUGACAACACUUAGAACAACGUUACUUUUACAACAUGAGAACAUUCUUCAUAUCUCUUAUUUCAUAUUUGCCACUAUACUCAACGUUUAUCUUUUCUAUUGGUUGAAUGUACGUGAAAAUGCAAGAAUUGUUACAACAUUUGAAUUUAUCUUAUAUGUAAUGUAUAAAUUUAAAUCAACC
This 6175-nucleotide long non-coding RNA is filed under the name Mytilus galloprovincialis (Mediterranean mussel). Lineage: Eukaryota; Metazoa; Mollusca; Bivalvia; Mytilida; Mytilidae. The record is from RNAcentral.